RNAcentral lists this long non-coding RNA (454 nucleotides) under Strongylocentrotus purpuratus (purple sea urchin). RNAcentral's name for it is "uncharacterized LOC115926139, transcript variant X2". The record is from RNAcentral. Lineage: Eukaryota; Metazoa; Echinodermata; Echinoidea; Camarodonta; Strongylocentrotidae.
AUGCUAGAUCUAUUUUAUUUUGUUAAGGAGAAAGGGAUGCCUUGAUUGUCGUAUUGAUUUUCUUCUUCUUUUUGUUCCAAAAGAUUGAAACUGAAGAGCUGGAAGGAGGACAUUACAACAUCUCUUAUAUUUGCAAGAUGAAGCAGAAAGUCCCAUGCAGGAUGAUGCCUCUCUACAGUGGAUGAUGAAGGCAUUCUGGUUUGCAAACUCAGGAGAGGAACAAAGAACAGAUGUUGACGGGAUCAUAUCUAGAGAUGCGGGCCUACUACACUUCAUACGAGCAAGUGUGCUAAUAUACAUGAAGACUUGGGUUAUAUUUUUUUCUGAAAACUAGGCUACAACUUUAGUGAUGGAUGCAGAAGAUAUCUACACGAGACUACGUCUUAAAGAUGCCACCCUCAUAUAAUGAAAGAGGACAAUAGAGAUGGGUUUAAACUGGAAUAUUUACAUGAUA